UAAUACGGAGGGUGCAAGCGUUAAUCGGAAUCACUGGGCGUAAAGCGCACGUAGGCGGUGCCGUAAGUCGGAUGUGAAAGCCCUCGGCUCAACCGGGGAACUGCAUUCGAUACUGCGGUGCUUGAGUGUCGGAGAGGGUGGCGGAAUUCCAGGUGUAGGAGUGAAAUCCGUAGAUAUCUGGAGGAACACCAGUGGCGAAGGCGGCCACCUGGCCGACAACUGACGCUGAGGUGCGAAAGCGUGGGGAUCAAACAGG
This 256-nucleotide ribosomal RNA is filed under the name uncultured bacterium. RNAcentral's name for it is "partial 16S ribosomal RNA". It matches the Rfam family "Bacterial small subunit ribosomal RNA", at positions 521 to 776 of the family's 1533-position model. The record is from RNAcentral.